UACGAAGGUCCCAAGCGUUGUUCGGAAUCACUGGGCGUAAAGGGAGCGUGGGCGGCCUUUCAAGUCUGGUGUGAAAGCCCAGGGCCUAGCUCUGGAAGUGCACUAGAAACUGAUCGGCUUGAGUACCGGAGGGGAGAGUGGAAUUCCCGGUGUAGCGGUGAAAUGCGUAGAUAUCGGGAGGAAUACCGGUGGCGAAAGCAAUCCCCUGGGCCUGCACUGACGCUCAUGCACGAAAGCGUGGGGAGCAAACAGG
This 253-nucleotide ribosomal RNA is filed under the name uncultured bacterium. RNAcentral describes it as "partial 16S ribosomal RNA". It matches the Rfam family "Bacterial small subunit ribosomal RNA", at positions 524 to 776 of the family's 1533-position model. The record is from RNAcentral.